Molecule: ribosomal RNA, 253 nt
Filed under: uncultured bacterium
Lineage: Bacteria
Description: partial 16S ribosomal RNA
Rfam family: Bacterial small subunit ribosomal RNA
Source: RNAcentral
UACAGAGGGUGCGAGCGUUGUUCGGAAUUACUGGGCGUAAAGCGCGUGUAGGCGGUUCAUUAAGUCAGAUGUGAAAUCCCGGGGCCUAACUCCGGAAGUGCAUUUGAAACUGAUGAGCUGGAGUGAUGUAGAGGAUGGCGGAAUACCCAGUGCAGUGGUGAAAUACGUAGAGAUUGGGUAGAACACCGGUGGCGAAGGCGGCCAUCUGGGCAUUAACUGACGCUGAGACGCGAAAGCGUGGGGAGCAAACAGG